UACGAAGGGGGCUAGCGUUGCUCGGAAUCACUGGGCGUAAAGCGCACGUAGGCGGAUUGUUAAGUCAGGGGUGAAAUCCUGGAGCUCAACUCCAGAACUGCCUUUGAUACUGGCGAUCUCGAGUCCGGGAGAGGUGAGUGGAACUGCGAGUGUAGAGGUGAAAUUCGUAGAUAUUCGCAAGAACACCAGUGGCGAAGGCGGCUCACUGGCCCGGUACUGACGCUGAGGCGCGAAAGCGUGGGGAGCGAACGGG
This 253-nucleotide ribosomal RNA is filed under the name uncultured bacterium. RNAcentral's name for it is "partial 16S ribosomal RNA". It matches the Rfam family "Bacterial small subunit ribosomal RNA", at positions 524 to 776 of the family's 1533-position model. The record is from RNAcentral.